This 428-nucleotide long non-coding RNA is filed under the name Mytilus galloprovincialis (Mediterranean mussel). Lineage: Eukaryota; Metazoa; Mollusca; Bivalvia; Mytilida; Mytilidae. The record is from RNAcentral.
AAAAUACUGGAUCAAAAAAAGACAGGUGAUCACUCGACUACAAAAUACUGGAUAAACAAAGACUGGUGAUUACUCGACUUCAAAAUACUGGAUCAAACAAAGACAGGAGAUCACUCGACUACAAAAUACUGGAUCAUCAAAGACUGGUGAUUACUUGACUACAAAAUACUGGAUCAAACAAAGACAUGUGAUCACUCGACUACAAAAUACUGGAUCAAACAAAGACUGGUGAUUACUCGACUACAAAAUACUGGAUCAAACAAAGACUGGUGAUUACUCGACUACAAUAUACUGGAUCAAACAAAGACAGGUGAUCACUUGACUACAAAAUACUGGAUAAACAAAGACUGGGGAUUACUCAACUUCAAAAUACUGGAUCAAACAAAUGUUUACUCUAUUAUCAUAUCAGAUGUUUCUAUAUUUUAUAA